UGGGAAGGGGUCUGUCAGACAACCGUGUGACCACCCCAGCCAGCUGAAGAGAUGGCUGAGAACGAUCAUCUACUGCUUGAAUGAUCCGAGGGUCACAAGGCUGUUAAUCACGCUCUGAUCACACGGUCAUGGUUCAUCCACCAGACUGAGGUUCCUGUCUCCUUAGAAAUCAAGGAUACAGAGGUACAACCUAUAGAACAGAUCCUGUUCAAGUAAGGUCGUGAGCUGUGAGUACGGAAAAGACCAUAUAAAGGCUAUUGUCGUUUUAUGCAGCGUCGAUGUGGGACUAAUGUUGUUGUGCUUUGUGCAUUUUGCAGCUCACAAAUAUCUGCCGAGGUUUUGCCUUCAAUUCAACCACAUUGAAGACAACUACUGUAAAAAGUAAAGAAUUCCAAUUCAGAAAGAGUAUAUACCUUUAUUAAUAGGUGGCUCGAAGCUGUAUGAACAUCUAAUUGGCUGAAAAAGCAACCCUGCCAACAAAAUCAAAGAGUUUAAACAAAAUUGAAAGAGGCCUAAGCCUUAUGGGUCACCGUGUAGUUGUACAGCUUGUAGGGUUGCGUAGGAUUUUGAUUUUAACAUUUGUUCGGUUAAAACAUAUAAAUUGCAAUGAGUGAACAAGGAGGAGCACUCACAAGGUGGACGCGAAUAUUGUUCGUUAUUAUUAUCCUUUGAUAAAUAUGUAUUUACUUGGAAUUAGUUGGACUGACUUCUCUACGUUUACUGACACAUAUGAAAUAAAAAAGAUUAUAUAUGCGAGUACGUAUAGUUGAUUCUAUCCUCAUUCAUUCUCUUCCUUAUUUAUGUCUUCAUGGAUUCUCUUCCUUAUUUAUAUCUUCUCAAGCUUCAAGGGUUGAUUAAAAAUUACAAACCAAAAGUAUCUGAUUAAAAAAAAAAAAAAAAAGCAUGAACAGCAACUACACUACAUAUAUAUGUAGUGUGAGUUUAUAUGAGUUUCGAUUGUUUGGUAUCAAAUUCUUCAUUUAAGAGAGUCAAAUCUAAGACCUCUUACGUAUUUAAGAUUGCGGGAAAAGAUCACUAGAUGAUUGUACUAAUCGCGAGAGACGAGCACAAUGAGAUGCAUGUGGGCUUAAGACGUAUUCAGUUGGGUGUGAGUCUUAAGAUAUGUGUUUUUGUGGCACGCCAGCACAAAGGCUUGCUUGCUAGCUUCAGGAUCUGCGUAUGGAAAAGUGUUUGCCUUUACUAAAGGUCCAAUUUAUUUCUGAGAACAUUGAACCAUAAAAAACAGAGGUUAACUAUUAAGUACUAUUGAGAAGCAACCUAAUAGCGCACCGGACGACUGAGUAGGAGGUCUUAUUAUCAUAAAAAACUGUCUCAAGGGUAGCAUAACCCCUUGCAUAUCUGAAUGAUGCAGUGCCUGAAACCACUGAGACCUCUUUAACCCUCUCAAACUGGCGGCUGGUGCCUUGUAGCUCAAGGCUGCUGCCAUCGUACCUAUUGGUGAAUGCAAGUGACAUUGACACAUGCACAUUGGAGCCAGAAAAGGACGAAGCAACUAGAAUGCCUUGAGCUCGACCUACUUGGGUCGAUCUCUUAUCGGGAGUUUCGGUGAUGGGAUCGUCAAUGGCGAAAAUGGUGCCGAAUGAGGUGAAAGACUGAGGCUUGCCUUGGAUGCCUGUGAUAGGGACAACAGUUGCAUUGGGUCCUGACGCCAAGUCUUGCAAGUAAAACACUAUGGUGGUUUCUCUAGGACUUUGAGCUUUGGAAAGAGACAUGAGCAUGGCUAGAAGCAAUGUUGACAAAACCGACAUGAGUUUGGAGGGUCUUGAAAAGGAACUUAAUGCCAUUAGUGAAAAUAACAACAAAUUGAGCAGCAGAAGAAUUUGAGUGAAUAUUGGAAUUUUCUUUUUGCAACUGGGUUUGUUCAUGCAAUGGUUCCAAUUUAUGGAGAGAUGGAGACGGUUAAAGUUGUCAAUUUUCUGCUAGAAAAUAGACGUUAUGUAAGUUAUGAACACAAGAUUCUUGUUAUUUUGGGACGUUUAAAAAGUAGUGACGGCCUGAUGGGUAUCUCAUGUGAGACUGCUGAACAUAGAGCAUGCCUGUGGAGGUUCAAAUUUAGGUUUAAAAUUCAAGCAUAGAGAAGACCAAAAUCAUACAUAUACGUAUACGUGAAUCCAAGAAAAUGCAACGCAACAGUACAUAUAGGUUUCGUUUAAUGUCUAGGAUUGGCUUGGAUUGAAUAAACUUUAAUUAAAUGCACGUUGAGCAAAAACGUGGAUGUCAACUUGCAUAUAUAUAGGUUGUCCAAUUAGUUUUCUUCAUGAAAAUUAUCUACCUUCAAUUAGGGUUUGAGCGGUCAUAUCACAAAUCGAUUAAAAUGGAAAGGAAGGCACAUAUAAGCGUUAUAUUAUAUAUCAUUUCAACUUUCAUAACCUACAUAAGUAAAAAUAAACACCUUUAUGUCACUCUUUCAUGGAUAUUGGAUAUGCCGGUACUGUUCACUUUUAAUAAAAAAUCACAUUUUUACCUUUAUUUGUCAUUUUUCAUUAAAACUAAAGUUUUUUUUUGGACUUUCGUUAGUUUUCCUCUCUUUUUUGUGUGUGAUAGAAGACUAAGGGUGCGUUUGUUGCACCGGACUAACUCGGACUAAGCUGGACUAGCUUAGACUAGACUAAGUUGGACUGGCUUAAAAUAGACUUAGCUGGACUGGCUUAGACUAUACUGAGCUGGACUGACUUAGUGAAGCGUUUGGUACAAUGUCGGACUAAAAAGAAGGAUAAUAACAAAUUACAAUAUUAUAUUUUUUAAUUCAUAUCUAAUAAUAUUAUAUUAAUUAAUUCUAUCUUUUUUUAUUCUAAUAAAACUCUCCCUCUUUAUCUCCCUCGUUCUCUCAGUCCCAUGCUCUCUUUCGCUUCCCUCUUUUUUCCGAUUAAUUGCCAAAUUUUUUUUUGCAAAACAAAGAAUCGAGCUUGGUUUUUCAGGUUUUUGUUUGGUGCAAGAUUCCAACUGGAGAGAGCUUUCCAAGUCCGUGGAGCGGCGGAACCGACCUGCAGUGAUGCCUGGCGAGUUGAUCGGCGACGAGUCGGGGUUUGUGAAGUCGGGGAAGUGAGAGACGGUGAUGGCUUGGAUUUCUUGAAUUCGUUUCCAUCAAACCCAAUAUUGCAGAUUUAGAGAUCUUUUGAGAUGGAGAAGAGGGAGGAGGAGAGAGAGUGAGUCAGAGAAAGGGAAGGCAAGUAGUUGCUCAAGCCUGGGGCGAAGCGAAGCAACAUGAAUGUUUAAGUGUAUUAUUGAAAAUAUGUCUAAAUAAAGUGUAUCAAAUGUAAAAAAUGUGCAAGUACGUGUAUAACGUCAGAAUUUUAAAACAUGUGCAAUUUAAUAAAACAAUAAGACGUGUAUGAAAAACAUAAGUAUUUGAAAAAUACUUAUGUAUGUGUAAAAUACGGGUCUUAUACGCGAAUUUACUAACCAUGCGUGUGAGUAUUGAAAUUAUUUUGAUUUUUAAUUUUAUGUGUUAAUUUCAAUUUUUAAAGUACUGUUAUCGACACUCCAAAAUAGUUAAGUUGUACUACUUUCAUGAAAAAAUUUGCAUAAAAAAAAAAACACAUUAAAGAACUGCAUAAUGAUUUUUUUAGGGGCAGAACCACUCCCUAAAUUUAAUCAAUUUAUGAUUCACCAAUGACAAGUUUUGAUGUGGUAAGUAUAAUCCAUCAAAUUGUGUUGAGUUUUAAAGUACAAUAGGUAUUUAUCUUUUAAUUCACAUAAAUGACAAAGACACAUAUAUGAUGAGUUUAAUUCUAAAUUGUGUAAUUUUGAAAAAAAUAGGUUUUUAUAACCAAUGGGCUUUGAAAUGUACCAAAAUCUUUAUUUUGAUCUUUUAAUUUCAAAAUGAAUCCAUAUCGCUCUUAAAAUUAAGCACCACACAUCAAUUGAGUUCUUUCCAUUAAUUUCUAUCAAGUGUUACGUAAAUUUAGUGACUAGGCACACAUGUACGGCCUACAAGUCCAAAAUAUGUUAUUAUCGAUUUUCGGAAAACAUUUGUGAUAAAAACCGUUGAAAAAGGGAAAACAAAAUUCAUGAACGAUGAUAUCAUGAUAUUGAUGGAAACCUUGAGACUUUCAUGGUCCUGUAAGCCAAACAUACUCCACCAAAAUUAUAAAAUCCCAAUUGGACACUAGGAAAAAACAAAAACAAAAUAAAUAAAAAAGAGUUGGGAAAACAUUUGUGAUAAAAACCGUUGAAAAAGGGAAAACAAAAUUCAUGAACGAUGAUAUCAUGAUAUUGAUGGAAGCCUUGAGACUUUCAUGGUCCUGUAAGCCAAACAUACUCCACCAAAAUUAUAAAAUCCCAAUUGGACACUAGGAAAAAACAAAAACAAAAUAAAUAAAAAAGAGUUGGGAAGGUCUGUCAGACAACCGUGUGACCACCCCAGCCAGCUGAAGAGAUGGCUGAGAACGAUCAUCUACUGCCUGAAUGAUCCGAGGGUCACAAGGCUGUUAAUCACGCUCUGAUCACACGGUCAUAGUUCAUCCACCAGACUGAGGUUCCUGUCUCCUUAGAAAUCAAGGAUACAGAGGUACAACCUAUAGAACAGAUCCUGUUCAAGUAAGGUCGUG
RNAcentral lists this long non-coding RNA (4571 nucleotides) under Malus domestica (apple). RNAcentral's name for it is "long non-coding RNA (MDOM_LNC017282)". The record is from RNAcentral. Lineage: Eukaryota; Viridiplantae; Streptophyta; Magnoliopsida; Rosales; Rosaceae.